Molecule: long non-coding RNA, 1148 nt
Filed under: Brassica napus (rape)
Lineage: Eukaryota; Viridiplantae; Streptophyta; Magnoliopsida; Brassicales; Brassicaceae
Description: long non-coding RNA (BNAP_LNC000675)
Source: RNAcentral
UUGAGAAGGAGACAAUGGUGAGGAGAUGUAGAAUAACACGUCUAGUAUUCAUAUAUGAAAGGCGCCUAGAUAUAGGAUCUGCACGAUAUCAUUAAUUACGAAACGAUAUUUCAGUAUUCAAAAUAAGGCGCAAAUAUAUUACUUGACAUGUUACAUAGCAGUAUAUGUUUGCUAAAGUAAAAUAGGAAUGCUACAUUCGAUCUGGUCACACCAAUUAAGAGUAAGAAUCAAAUAUGGACUAUUACAUAUUUGUUUUCAAUUUGUCAUGAUGAUAUCGUAUCAAUCAGCAAAGAAAACAUAUCUGUCAAGGGCCAUAUAUAGAAAGCUCCUCUUUUCACGUCCACCAUGUUUUGUCACGUAAUUCUUGGUGAUUGGCAAUAAUUUAUUUCAUCCGUGAUCGACAAUUCACAUUUGAUUCAGGAAUUAUGGCAAAUAACGUAUCAACGUAUUUAAGUAGCGUGCCUUUGAUGCUCAGUAUUGACACAAAACUAUAAUAAAACGAUCUCUAAUGGUAUAUUGCAUUUAUAAUUAUGGAAAUGAUAAAUCAUGGUUAACGUGUACGAACAUUUGAAAUUGUAAUCGACCUCUGGAAAAAUAUAUUGGACGUAUUAAAAAUGUGGACGUAUUAAAAAAGUUCUUGAACUUUCUCAUAUAAAACUUCUUAAAUUAGUCAUAUAAAAAUGUGAUUUUGGCAUUAAGAAAUUUCUAUUGCAUUUAUAUAUAUGUAGUCAAAAUUGUUUCAAAAAAUAAAAUAUAUAUAUAUGUGGGCUAACUAUAUAGAAAAUGCUAUAUGAUGCAUGAUAAUGAAAUAAACUAUGAAGAAUCUCUGUGUAUUCCGUAAUGAAAUAGUUGUGUAUAUUCUCAGCGAAGUUAAAGCUGCUUACGUUUAAACAAUGAAAGCGUAUGUAGUUUCCAUGUAGGUAUGCAUUUUGUUAGUCAACGUUUAAGCAUUAAAUGUUAGGGUGGUAAGGUUAUUUAUUUUGUUAGUCACGAAUCUUAUAGUAUAUCUCGUUUUUGUAAUGUAAUGAGCAAUGACAAAUAUCGUAAUUAAUCUAGUUAACUAAGGGUUCUUGCAUAUAUCAUGUGAGAGAACUUGUGGAGCUGCCACGUAAAAAAUGACAUUGUUGAACUAAACACAUGAAGUAAAU